RNAcentral lists this long non-coding RNA (1195 nucleotides) under Manihot esculenta (cassava). RNAcentral describes it as "long non-coding RNA (MESC_LNC003732)". Lineage: Eukaryota; Viridiplantae; Streptophyta; Magnoliopsida; Malpighiales; Euphorbiaceae. The record is from RNAcentral.
GCAUUUAAAUAUAAAGGAAUAAAGGGGACAAACUUAUCAACAUAUUCGGUUCAAAUUGAAAAAAUUAAUCGAAUCGAAUCGAUUUAAAAAUUUAGUUCGGUUUUUUAUAUAUUUCUAUUCGGUUCGAUUUUUAAUUUCAAAAAUUUUAGUUAUUUCGGUUCGGUUCGGUUUUAAUAAAAAAAAAUCAAAAAAACCAAACCGAACCGAUUAGUGAUAAUAAUAUAUUUUUCAAUAAUAUAAAGAAAUUAAAUCAUAUUAAAAUUAAAAUAUUUUAAUUAAAUUUUAAAAUAUUAAAAAUAAGGUGUAAAAAAUAAACAAAUUAUUAAAAAUCGAAAUCGAUCAAAUCGAACCGAAUCGAAUCGAAUCAGAUCGGUUCAGUUCGGUUUCUGACCAAAAUCGGUUCGGUUCGGUUUUCAUAAAUACUAAAAUUUCGAUUUUCGGUUUAUUCGGUUUGGUUCGGUUUUAAACCGAACCGACCGAAUGCUCACCCCUAUUCAACAUGGCCUGGAUUUAGGUUUUGAUAGCAUUUCAGGAUUCUGUACAAGUGAAAUUUCCCAAACUCUUCAGGAUAUUAACCUAGUGUACCCCUUGGUAUAUCAGCACGACACGAAUCAACUCUCUGCUGAUCUGAUUGCCUUCCGGUUCCCUCCUCAUUCAGAACAAUGUAAGAUAUUUGCGCAUCAAAACUAACUGAACCAUCAAUCAUGAUCCUAUCUUUAAUGAAUAUUUGAAUUAGAACAAAUUAUUCUUUAAUCAUAACCCCAAGCAGCGACAAUCGGCUCCAGAUGCUUACCAGAAGAAACAAUGAAUCGGUAAUUUCCCUUUGGCUCAAAGAUUGCUGCAGGCGAAUUGGUUUUCGAUUUGGAGCUUUGAAUAUUGCUAUUAUGGGGUUUGCAGAUCUUAGAUAUGAGUUUUGAAAUUAGCUUCUUGGAAUUAAGGCUUAAUUGAGUUAUUCUCAACCCCAACAGCUAUAAAGUUGUAGACAGACACUGCUUAUGUUUUUUAAAUGCUUGUUCCUCUAAUUUUUGUUUAUGAAAGUAUUAUUUUUGGGUAUUUAUUGAUUUCAUUUCUGGUAACCGUUGAAUUUCUUGCAUGUUGAUUUCUGCCCUCAAGUGUUGAAACACAGAGAACGCCGCAGUGAUUUGCUUGUUAAUCGGUAAUAGUUUCGAGAGGAAUGAGAGAGAGAAAGGGAGGG